Molecule: small RNA, 847 nt
Filed under: Pongo abelii (Sumatran orangutan)
Lineage: Eukaryota; Metazoa; Chordata; Mammalia; Primates; Hominidae
Description: processed transcript
Source: RNAcentral
GCUGAACUCUUUGUAAUGAUACCAGAAGAGGCAGAUUAUGUUGGGAUCGAACGCAACAACAAGGGAUUUCGACCACUGAGCUGUGAGUACAAGAUGGAAAAUGUAACCAGGAUGGUAGUGUGCGACCUUGGGAACCCUAUGGUGUCUGGAACAAAUGUAAGAGAGAACCAGAAAUACUGACUGAUUUCCUUCUAAGUGGACUUUACAGGGAACAAAUGGAAAGCUCUCCAGUUACCACUCAGCAACUCAGCACCUAACAGCAACAACAAAUUAGGCAGGAAAUUACCAGAGUAGUGGGAUUUCACAUUAUAACCUACACAGAGUGAAUUGUCCCAGGCUAAAAACACAGAAAGAUGCAUGCUCUUCUGUGCUUUCUCUUUAUACAUUACUCUUGCCUGUCUUUUAGUUACAACAAUUUUAUACACUUUGUUUUUCUAUAGAUAUUUUCUUUAAAUACUUUUUCUUUGAAUUCAAAAAGAAAUGCAAUUUAAGUUAAAGACUCUAAAAAUAACCAAAUUAGGACAAAGAUUUUAGCAAUGGCAAUUAAAGGAAGGACAUGAUAUUCAACAGUGACCAUAGAAUUCCCUUUUCAAGGGAGAUUCAGGUUCGUAUUUGCAUUUUAAAGAUGCUGAUAAGUCUUUCAGUUAAUAAACCUUUUAGCCUGAUGUUUCAUACUAUUGCUUGAGCAUUUGAAACUUUUCUCAAGUUAGAAUAUUAUGCUAGAAUGAUAUUUUUGCUCUUUUAUGCUAUAACGUUGCAUUGAUCUUGGGUAUUCAAAAAUGUGCUGAAACUAUAGUAAGCUCACUUCUUGGGACAAAAAUAAAUAAAUAUUUCAAUGGCAAGUACA